AGAGACAGCAGCCGCGCGGUAAUACGUAGGUGGCAAGCGUUGUCCGAAAUUAUUGGGCGUAAAGGGCUCGCAGGCGGUUUCUUAAGUCUGAUGUGAGAGCCCCCGGCUCAACCGGGGAGGGUCAUUGGAAACUGGGAAACUUGAGUGCAGAAGAGGAGAGUGGAAUUCCACGUGUAGCGGUGAAAUGCGUAGAGAUGUGGAGGAACACCAGUGGCGAAGGCGACUCUCUGGUCUGUAACUGACGCUGAGGAGCGAAAGCGUGGGGAGCGAACAGGAUUAGAUACCCCAGUAGUCCCUGUCUCUUAUACA
This 309-nucleotide ribosomal RNA is filed under the name uncultured bacterium. RNAcentral's name for it is "partial 16S ribosomal RNA". It matches the Rfam family "Bacterial small subunit ribosomal RNA", at positions 504 to 808 of the family's 1533-position model. The record is from RNAcentral.